GAUCAAGAUGCAGCGUCUGCCUGUUUUCCCAGGAGGACAUUCCACGAAGAACAUUUCCUCUUGAUAUACAGCUUUGCAAAGUGUCCCUGUGACUGGAUGAAAACCCUUGCAGCAGUGUUUCAGCCCUGAAGGGUGCCCUCCUUGAAUUAACAAUCCCAAGAGAAGAUUGCCACUCAUUUCAGGGAUGCCCGAUUUGCGUCACUGUUUAAGAAGAUAUUAACUGAUACCAGUGAUGUUGCUCAAGUCCAGGCAGAAUACACAUAGAAAUAUCACGGGUCAGUGUUCGAAGUGUACUUGCAUACAGAUAUCGGAUGGUUUUGUUUCUGAAAACUGGAAUUUAAAAUGUGCAAUGAACUUGUGCUGAACACAGGCUGUCAUCUCCCUCUGCACCCUGAUGUUGGAUUACAAAGGCCCUGUUUUACCCUGAAGUGAGUGCUGCAGUGUUUAGGGAAGCACCACUGGGAUUAUCCUUGGGUGCCAGACUCCCCCCCUCCAUUACCCAGAGGCAUGCUGACCCCAUCGCUCUGCACUGCAUGUGGUCAUUGUGGUGUGCAGCUUUGUCGGUUACCUCAGUUGACUUUUCCUGGCAAAACGCAUCAAGUAAUUUUCCAUUCACUGUGGUCUGUGUGUUCAAGUAACUGUACAGUAACGAUAGUAUUUGGGCAUAGAUGAAUUGUGUUGGAUUCUGUAUAUGGUGUAUAUGUUGUUAAGACUGACUCAUCUUUAUUUAUACAGCUAGUUUCCUACUCUGGGCUGUACAAUUCAAUUCCUUCCUGUUUCAAUAUCAGACUAGCACUGCCACCGGUUCCAUCUGCAGUCCGUGAUCCAAUCUGCAACCAGCGAAGGUUGAAAAGAUGCUGGACAUACGGGUCCGGAUUGUGACGUGCUUUUUUCUGCUGUUUAUUUGCUUUUUCAACAGCAGUCUGUGACCCAAUUCAAUUCAGUUUGAUCUUUAGCUAUCAAACGAA
Long non-coding RNA from Acipenser ruthenus (sterlet), 968 nucleotides. RefSeq lists it as uncharacterized. The transcript has 3 exons. Lineage: Eukaryota; Metazoa; Chordata; Actinopteri; Acipenseriformes; Acipenseridae. The record is from RefSeq and is a predicted model, not a curated record.